RNAcentral lists this ribosomal RNA (465 nucleotides) under Vreelandella stevensii. RNAcentral's name for it is "partial 16S ribosomal RNA". It matches the Rfam family "Bacterial small subunit ribosomal RNA", at positions 338 to 795 of the family's 1533-position model. The record is from RNAcentral. Lineage: Bacteria; Pseudomonadati; Pseudomonadota; Gammaproteobacteria; Oceanospirillales; Halomonadaceae.
CCUACGGGGGGCAGCAGUGGGGAAUAUUGGACAAUGGGGGCAACCCUGAUCCAGCCAUGCCGCGUGUGUGAAGAAGGCCCUCGGGUUGUAAAGCACUUUCAGUGAGGAAGAACGCCUGGUGGUUAAUACCCAUCAGGAAAGACAUCACUCACAGAAGAAGCACCGGCUAACUCCGUGCCAGCAGCCGCGGUAAUACGGAGGGUGCGAGCGUUAAUCGGAAUUACUGGGCGUAAAGCGCGCGUAGGUGGCUUGAUAAGCCGGUUGUGAAAGCCCCGGGCUCAACCUGGGAACGGCAUCCGGAACUGUCAAGCUAGAGAGCAGGAGAGGAAGGUAGAAGUCCCGGUGUAGCGGUGAAAUGCGUAGAGAUCGGGAGGAAUACCAGUGGCGAAGGCGGCCUUCUGGACUGACACUGACACUGAGGUGCGAAAGCGUGGGUAGCAAACAGGAUUAGAUACCCUGGUAGUC